RNAcentral lists this long non-coding RNA (231 nucleotides) under Elaeis guineensis (African oil palm). RNAcentral describes it as "long non-coding RNA (EGUI_LNC069155)". Lineage: Eukaryota; Viridiplantae; Streptophyta; Magnoliopsida; Arecales; Arecaceae. The record is from RNAcentral.
GUGGAAUAAAAGAUUAAAAUAUUUUUUCAAUCUAUAUCAUACAUAUAAAAAAUAUAAAACACUAGGAUCUACUUCAUAUGCUGAAAUUGAAUACAUGCUAAAUUUUAUGCUAAAAUUGAAUAUAUGAUCGGAUCACACAUCUAUUUCACAAAUCUUUUCUUCAAAUCUGGAUCUAAAAGAGAGUAGAUUCUCUUCUAGCCAUGCAAGUGUUAGAUGUGUGCCCUAGAUGCC